Molecule: ribosomal RNA, 254 nt
Filed under: uncultured bacterium
Lineage: Bacteria
Description: partial 16S ribosomal RNA
Rfam family: Bacterial small subunit ribosomal RNA
Source: RNAcentral
UACGUAGGGACCAAGCGUUGUUCGGAUUUACUGGGCGUAAAGGGCGCGUAGGCGGCAAAUUAAGUCAGCUGUGAAAUCUCCGAGCUUAACUCGGAACUGUCAGCUGAUACUGAUGUGCUAGAGUGCGGAAGGGGCAAUCGGAAUUCUUGGUGUAGCGGUGAAAUGCGUAGAUAUCAAGAGGAACACCUGAGGUGAAGACGGGUUGCUGGGCCGACACUGACGCUGAGUGCGCGAAAGCCAGGGGAGCAAACAGG